CGGGUCACAUUGGAUUGAGGCCCAUCCUGAAGACCUCAAUUUAAUUGCCUUUUAAAAUACCCUAUCUCCAAACACACGUACAUUCGGAGGUACUGGAAUUAGAACUUCAACCUGUGAAUUCUGGGGGAACCAAGUUGAGCCCAUAAUAGUGUGUCAUGUUGUAGAACUCCAUGAUCUACCAUUUUCCACCAUGGAAUAUUUGUCCUAGGCACCUUACAGCAAAUCCUCCUUAUCUAUCCUUGUACUUUCUGGGCUUCAGUUACCAAUGGUCAACCUAGGUCGUAAAAUAUUAAACGGGAAAUUCCAGAAAUGAACACUGAGUUUUGAGUGUACAUGGUUAUAAGUAGUGUGAUGAACUCUGCCCUUUGUCCGGGAUAUCCACGCUUGUUACUCAGUGAGCAGCUGCUGUAGCGACCAGAUCACUGUUGGGGUGUCAUAGGGCUGUGCUCAGGUAACCCUUAGUUUACCGGUAACGGCUCCGGAGGGAAGAGUUGUGAUGUUGGCACUCCAGAUGUGCCAGUGAGACACUGUAAAGAGUUUCCUUUAAGUGGAAAGGUUAAAAUCCAAUAAGGUAUUUCAAGAGACCACGUCAGCAUAACUUUUCUUGUAGUGUAUUGCUAAUAUUCUGUUUUUAGUUACUUUUGCCAUCCCCUACUGUGCAGAAUUCAUAUGUAGGAUUGGUACCAUCUGCAGUUUCAGGCACCCCCAGGUUUCAGACUGCUCCCCUUGGAGGAUAACUGGGUCCACUGUAGGAGACCUUGAGCUCCGGGCCGGAGCUGGUGAGUGCCGCCAGCAGUGAGCUGGGCAUCACACUCUGGCCAGAGUCAUCUUGGCAUUGCCACCUGCGGCCAUGUGCAGAGCCCUGAGUGCGGGUGCCAGCACCACCGCCUGACUCGGGCAGGUGUGCUGAGCCCUGUGUGCUCCUGGGUGGAACUCCGGGUGGCCACUGGAGGUUCAUUUGGCGCAUGGUGGGAGCUGCAUGGGAGCUGGUCAGGAUUGUUACUCACAUCAGGUUCGGAGAGGGUGGCGCCCUGCCAGGAAAGCAAUGUUUUCCUGUGCAGAACUGAAGUGUAUUCACGAGCGUGGAAAUGGAGACGUGGUGGUGCUGGACUGAGCUGGACAGGGCCCCUUGGGGCUCUCGUGGAGGCCCAUGCAGGGAGUGCCCGGUGCUCUUCCAGUGACUGCUGCCUCCCUCCAGUCCUCUGAGCUGGGGGCUGGCAAGAUGAGGGUUUCUGUCCCCGUCUCAGAGCCACGGAAAGCCCAGGGAGGCUAAGCGAGGGUGGCAGGGGCACUGUGAGUCCAGUCCUUGUGACUCCCUCUCUGCACGUGGCCUGCGAAGCUGAGGUCCCGCAGCUGUGUCCACUGCCUUCUCUGGGUAGUGAGCAGAACUCAUGUUUCUCUCCUGGCUUCUUUCAUUCAAAACAACUCUUGUGUAUGCCAGGCCCUAGUGUGUCCUCAGGGUGCCUGGCCCUCCUCUGGGAAGUGGUCAGAAGGAGACGUCACAAGCCCACGUGGGCAUCUUCUGAGCUGGGAGCAUUUGCUCCCCGGAAAUCUUCUCUUCUGAGGGUGGUGUUCACCGGGCUGCAGACAGCCCUUUGCCUGCGCCGCCCGUUUCCAAGUCUCACCAUUGCAUUAAGAAUAGCACCAGCCGAGAGAAGGCCCACGUGGCUCUGAGCAGCCCUUCAUGGCACAACCCAGCACGGGCGGGUCACAGGGCAAGCAGGACCCCCCUGACCACGGCAGGUGGAGACUUCGCUCAUACCAGAACACUAACCCGACGGGCAUUAUAAAACAAAGCUCAAGGGUGUUCAUAGGUGUUUAGGGUUUUGUAGAUAACAAGUGACACAACAGGAAACAGCAGAACUGAAGUGGAGGUGUCCAGAGUACUGAUGUGUAACGAGACCUAGCAAGUGUGGCCGGAGCUUAAUGCUGGGCGCAGAAGCAGAGGUCCUCAGAGAGGGGAAAGGGAAUCUCCUGGGGUACAGGCACUGGCAUGGAAGGACAGCCCACACCCCCGGCCCUGCAGGAGAGGGGAGCUGCCCAGGCUAGCAAAGAUUCUGACCCAUUUUGCCACACAUACAUCAGUCUCCUUAGACCACAUGCCCUGGUUCCAAGAUCAGUCCUGGCUCCACGUGAUCAGUCUCCUUAGAUCACAUGCCCUGGUUCCUGGCUCCAUUGUGCGUUAGGACACUGUGUCCCAGGGACACACUCACAAACCUUGGCCAAGAGUCUGGGAAGACAAAGAUAGAUUGUGUGAAGAAGACACAGAAUGUCUAGCACAGCCCCGGGCGACCCCAGGGACCUCUGGGUCAGGCGAUGUGAGUGCCCAGCCCAAGGGAUCAGUGCCAAUAGCAGUGUCGCCCGGCCAGCUGUGUGCGCCGAGCCCAAGCCGCCCACCCAGUGCCCCGCUCCUCAGGUCCUGAGCAGCAAGGAGCAGGGAGGAAGGGCAGCUUGGGUGUCGGCAGGGCCCGGGCCCAGAGCUUUUGGUCCACAUCGUUUCUGGAAACAGUGCAGUUAAGCCCACUAGGUAAAACCCUAAGAACACUGAAAGCUGUGGUGUUCAUGUUGGAGAAAAGAGCAGCGGGGGAAAUGGUUUGGCCAGGAGGACUGCCUUUCCUUACAGAGCACCAUGGCAUCCGUAGGUGGUGGAGAAAGGGGCUUUGUCCAAAUCCUGGUGUUGGUAGGCAGUUUCCCUCCUUGGGAAAUGUCAGCUCUAUAAAUCAACACGCAGUACCACUCACUCACUGACUUGGUAUAUGUGCUGCCAAAGCGAGCACUCACUCACUGACUUUGUAAAGUUCAGUGUUCUCUUUUAAAUUCAGCGAAUCUGUCAGAUGUAGAUCUCAAGCAGUGACUACCACAGUCAAGGGACAGGACAGCUCCGUCAGCCCAACCUUCCCCUGACCCCUUUACAGCCAGUCUUCUCUCUUCGCCCAGCCCUGCGGUCCCUGCCGUCUUCGGUCCUCUGCCCAUCAUUACUGUGUCUGCGUGCCUCCGUGUGUUUAUGCGUUCUCCAGUUAGUGGACAUUUGGGCUGAUUACAGCUGUCAGCUCUUAGGGACAGAACUGCUGUAAAUAUUCAGGCUUCGCUCUCUCUGUGCAUGUCAUCAGCUUGUUAUCGUGGGUACUUUCCCAAGAGUGAGCUUAUGGUUUGUACGGUAAAUGUCUGUUUAAUUCUGUAAGACACUGUCAAAGCAUUUCCCAAAGUGGUGUACCCUCUUACAUUCCCACAGGCAGCAUAUGAGAGUCUCAGUUAACACCGUGUCCUUGCCAACACUUGAUGCUAAUAGUCUUUUCAGUUUUAUCAGUUCUAGUGAAGAUAUAAUGGUAUCCCACUGUGGCCUUUCCCAGAUGCAUUCCCCUGAUGACUAAUGAUGGUGAACAUCUUUUUAUGUGCUUACUGGGAUUCAUAUAUCUUUGGUUAAGUAUCUGGUUAAAUCGUUUGCCCAUUAAAAAAAUUCUAUUAGUAUAUGUUUGUGAUACAUAAUACUGUAAUUACAUUUGUUUUGGGAAAAUGUUUGUUUGCUCACCGUUAACACUGUCAUUAGCUGUUGGUUUUUCAUAAGUGCCCCUUAUCAGGUUGAGGAAGUCCUCUUCUAGUUCUAGUUUGCUGAGAAUUUUUAUCAUGAAUUUGUCGAAUUUUGUCAAACCCUUGUUUUCCAUCUAUGGAGAUCACCUUUGUGUUCUUCCAUUUUGAAUCUGUUUCUAUGGUGAGUCAUUGAUUGAUUUUAAAUAUUAACUGUCUUGCAUUUCUCGGAGGAACCAUUUCUUGGUACCAAUACAUUAUCUUUUUUAUAUAUCGAUGAAUUUGCUUUGCUAAUAUUUGUUCAAGAUUUUGCAUUUAUAUUUAUUAUCAAUAGGGGUCUGUAGUUUUCUACCAGUGUGAUUAUUUGGUUUGGUAUCAGGAUAAUAUUGGCCUCAUAAGUGGGAUUGAGAGUGCUCUUUCUCUUCUGGUUCCUGAAAAGGUUUGUUUAAUUCUGCUAUGGUUUCCACUAUGGGACGUAAUGUUUGCCCUGCUGGAUUUUGGACUUGCUUUGGUCCUGUUCCUUUCUAUCCGGCUGUUUGUGCCUUUGGAAUGGUAAUGUUUAACUUGUGCCAUUGCAGCCUGGCAGCAACUGGACAGGCGGCAGAGGAUCCCAAUGGAGGCCACUCCUUGCCCCGUGAAAACUAAGUCCGGGCUGGAUUUAAAGUCGAGGAGAGGAGGGCUCUGCUCACAGCAGUGCUGCGUGGGGUUGGUGACAGGUUUCUUACCUAGCGGCACUUUCCCGUUUCGGAGUGGUAGUGUUUGCUCCGAGAACAGCAGCAGCCUCCACCUAGCGCCUCUGCAUUUUCCCCUCAUUGAGCACGCGUGGGCAAGGCGUGUGGAUGUGAUUAGGCUCUGACCUCAGUCCAGGCCACUGCACGCACUCGCACUCACCGUGCUGGUUAGUGGACUGGAAAGAACCAUCAGGGGUCGCAGCACCAAUUGGCGGCUGCCCACAGCCCCGGGCAGCGCUUUCCCGUCUCCUGGGGCACACGCAGGCUCAGACUCCGCCUCCAGUCUGCAGGAAAGACCCGGGUCGGGCUGCUCUGCCUGUGCGGAAGGGUCUGCCCUGUGGGCCGGCAGGGUCAGAGCGGAGGCCAGCAGGCUGGGUGGGAGGAUGCCCCUUCUACUCCUCGGGUUCGGGGGCUGGGGGGAGCAGACUCCCUGUCUGCCUUACCUGCCGGAAACAGGGCCCUGCUCCUUGGAGAGCUGCCUCUGCUUCAGACAGGGCAGCAGGAGGAAGGCAGAGAGAAACUGCUUCUCUUGAGAAUAUGUGAAGCCAGGACUCUGCUAACCACUGGCAGGCCAAGCGUGGAGACGCACGCCUGUGACCCCAGCCCUGGGGAGGUUUCAGCAGGAGCAUCUCGAGUUAGGACCAGCCUGGGCUGCAUCGUGAGAGUCCUUGGGGGGGGGGGGGCCUCUGCCUGAAUUUGGAAGGAAAAACGCCAGACUUCCAAAAGAUCAGACCGGGCCACCUGCGCCCCGUCCCUCCUCCGCCCCCUCUCACCAGUGCAUCCUCAGCUUCUGGGGACCCAGGCAGAGGACUCAUAAGGAGCGGAACAUUGUAAGAGGCUCCAGCUAGGACUCUAGUGAGCCCUCAGACAUGGCGUGGUGUGUGACACAUAGGGUGUCACCAGACAGGGCCCAAGGAGGUCCCCUGAAGAGAGCAAGUGUUCUCCACCCGGCCCACCCAGGGCACAUUGUAGGCUCUCUGGCUUCCGUCACAGGAAAGGAACUGGGAUUGAACUCAGGAAAUUGCGCUUGCGAGGCAGGCGGCGGAACCACUGAGCUAAAUGCCCGGCCUGAAAAAAUGAUUUUUUGCUGUGGCCAAAGAGUAGAAACCCACGAAAGCUUGACGAGGCCGCGUUCCUCAGGCUGGUGUGGCGUCGGGACCAUAGAGUGCCAUUGUUUUCCCAGCCUGGGGGAGUCUAAGCUGGGGGCAGGGACAAGUUGCUUCCUGAAGGACUGGAGUUUGUUGUUCAAAACGCAAUCAGAAAAGCAUGGUGCACUUGGAACCUUCAGCAAGGCCAUCCAGGUGCGAACCCUGAACCUCCAAGACUGUGAGCUAAAUCAGCCUCUUUUCCAUAAAGUUACCAUUACAGUAACACAAAACAGACUAAAGCACCACUCAAAAAUCCUACCGAGACAGGAGAGGAGAGAAGGCCACAGAAGUAUGAAAACUGGAAAACAGCGAGCAGUAUUUGACUUGGCAGCUUGGUGACCUCAAAACCUGAAGUCAGUUCCUGUGCUGUGAGAAGCCCCUGGUAGCUGGAUUGCAGCGGACUGUGCUGCGGGCAGCUGUGAGGGGCAUGGGAUGGAGAGAAAUGCCUCAUACUGACAUGUGCCUGACCCUAACCUGCUAUCCAUCCCUCUCAUGCCAUAAAUAUCAGGAGACCCAGAAGGAAGGGAGGAAGAGGGAAGACAUUCCCCCAUGACCCAAGGUGAGUGUCUGGGCCGAAAUUCCCAGCAUAAAGAAUGAAAAAGAAAACAAACAUGUGUCCUCAUCAUCAUAGCCUUUCAGAAUCUGGGAUGGGACGAGAGCUCAGGCCUCCUGAGGAAGAAGUUAAAGUCACACCGAAGCAGUCUCCGUGACAGCCCUGGACUUCUCAGCAGGAACCCAGGAGACUGGAAGACGGUGAGAAACACUUUCUAAGAUCAUUCACCUGGCCAAGUUACUAACCGAGUGGGAAAUAAGCUUCAGCAAAAUGAGGGACUCAGCCAUGAAAGGGACAGGCUCUAGCAUGGGCAGCGGAAGGGCCAUCCGGGACCCAGCCAGAGCGAGCGAGACUGGAGGGACCAGCACCAGGAAAAGUGCUGGAUGACAGCCUGGGCAAUCUGAGCGGACACCAAAGCAAAACAAGCCCAAGGCCGUUUCUACUCCAAGAAAAAGAAGAAAGUGCCGCAGGAAGGGAUUUAAUCACAGUAUACUGUGUGUCUUCGCUGAGAGCAGUGUUUACAUAGUUUGAACACGGAGAUGAAUGUGGAUUUGGCCCAGACUGGUGUGGGCUCUUGGGAGGUGGUGGGGCAGGUGGAGAACAACUGCUGGCUGUGGUGGUGACAGGACGCUGCAGGCGCACACAGCCACGCAGCCCUCGCCACAGCCCUGAGGCAGGCGGCGGCUGCAGUCCCUGCAUUCAGUUUCUAGUUGGAGUUGCGGCUCAGAGAGGGUCAACGAUUGGCCUAAAGUUACCCAGUAUAAAGUGUUAGGGCCAGGAUUUCAACAGGCAGGGUGGUUCUAAAGUCUGAACUUUAAACCACCGUGCCUGCCUGUCUUUGGUGCAGGGAGGCAAGACAUAAUUUAAAACAUCAAGAAUCAGCAGUGGGAUUAACAGCAUGGAGAGAGAUACCUAAGGUUAACAGUCGAGGAGCUUGACAGAGUUGCCUCUGAGGAAUGAGAAAGGGUAGGGCUUUUUUUUUUUCUUGUACAGCUGUUCACAGAUUUCCUGGGACAUCUCUUCUUGGUUUUUGUCUUUUGCAGGGCUGGGGGUGGAACCCAGGGCCACACGUGUCGGCAGGCGCUCACCACUGACCUGCACCCCAGCCCAAGCCCUGUGCAGUUCUCCUGCACUGUAGUCCCCUCUCUGAAGUCUGUCCCCCGGACAACUGCCAGCAGCUGUCAUUAAAUGGCACCGGGCAGAGGGCAGUGAAACACAGGGCUUUGCAGGGGGGCCCCUACUCCCUUUCCAUUUGUGUUUGAGUCACUUGUGUCCUUAUGUAACAGUCCAUGGCCCAGACCUGGGCGAGUGUAGGUAUUUACCUUCACGUGGAGCCAGGGUUGCUGCUGUGAGUCACAGUGAGUCAUCAUGAGCAUCAUUACCCUCUAAGACCUUGAGAAAGGAAAUACGACAGGUGCCACUGUUAGAAUUCUGCUGGGCCAGACUGCCAAGGCCAAAAUGGAAAUGCAGAGCUUUCUCUCUGGUAGCUGGAUUGCAGGUGAUUAUUUUUCAUGUCUCUUUGCUCAUUGCUAUCCCUCACUUUUCUCUGAUGUUUACUGUACAAAUUUCAAAAUCCUUUUAAAAAGAUUGAAAACUUCCUGAGAAGCUGGAAGUUGUGUGGGGCAGCCCAGGCCAGGCUGUCCCCAUGUGCAAGUGACUGUAUUCUUGAAAUGAGUGCCUUUUCCCAAUACACUGCUGUUAAGGGUGCUGGAGCUCCUGGACCCUCGGCGCCCCCCCCACACCAGUGCUGAGAGGUGGUCCCAGGAGCAGCUGUUCACCAGACAGGUGUGGCCAGGAGGUCCCCACUGGGGCCUGGCCUCGAAGCUGCUCCACUUGGGAUGGUCAGGGGAGGGAGGUGUCAGGUAUGAGUCUGGUGGUCUCAGCUUGGGGGCCUUUGCUCCUGAGAGGAGGGGACAGAAGCCUGGGGAGGCCUAAGUGAGGCCAUCUGAAUGCAGUGGGCAGCUGAGAAAGCCCCCUGCAGCUCCUGCCUGAGCCAGGAAAGGCUGCGAUCAGAGGGCUCUGUGAGCCAGGCCAUUGGCCACCGGAAGUAGCACUUCUGCGAAGGGUCUGCCUGGCCAGAUGGCACGGGGUGGCUGACAUGCCCUUUCUUCUGCCAAACCAGACAGGUGUCAUAGGGCACAGGCCCCAAAGUACAAAGCAGAGCCACUGCCAAGUCCCCUCAAACACAUGGAAGAUUUUUACAGUCACAAAUAUUUGCACUUUCUUUAGACCAAGGAUUGGCAGGUACAGGUUAGUCUGGCCUGGUGUCUAUUUUCUAACAGCCCACAAGCUAAGAAUGGCUUCAAAAUCCCUUCCCUUCCUCCUUUUUUUUGUACUGGGGGAUUGAACCUGUGCACUGAGCUACAGCCCCAGCCCUUUUUUUUGAGUCUUGCUAAAUUACUAAAUUGCCCAAGCUGGGCUAGAACUUGUGAUCCUCCUGCCUCAGCCUCCCAGAGUGCUGGGAUUGCAGGUGUGCUCCACCAUGCCUGUCUGACUUGUACAUUUUUAAAUGGCUGAAAAAAAUCAAAGUAUUUCAUGACAUGUGAAAAUUGUAUGAAUUUCUAAAUUUGUGUCCAUAAAGCAAGUUUGAGUGAGACACUA
This is a non-coding RNA of Heterocephalus glaber (naked mole-rat), 8558 nucleotides long. The record is from RefSeq and is a predicted model, not a curated record. Lineage: Eukaryota; Metazoa; Chordata; Mammalia; Rodentia; Bathyergidae.